Long non-coding RNA from Aegilops tauschii subsp. strangulata, 1753 nucleotides. RefSeq lists it as uncharacterized. The record is from RefSeq and is a predicted model, not a curated record. NCBI's taxonomy places the organism in Eukaryota, Viridiplantae, Streptophyta, Magnoliopsida, Poales, Poaceae.
UGAAGAUAGCACGGGCCAGAUCGAACCGGAGAAAUCCACAGCGACAGGGGAGGUAUCCAUCCCCGACCCGCGUCGUUUCCCUGGGAAAACGCUCCACGCCUCUAGGGGUCGGGGAGAAAAGCCACGGCUCGAGACCGCGAGCGCGACCAAGAUCCACCGCUUCGCUUCCGAUCUUCUCCGCCGGCGACUGGAGAGACGGCCCGGCCCCUCUCCCUCCGGUGCUCCGCCACCACGCUCCGUCUCUCCAAUGACCGCGACGUCUGUUGUCCUUACGCUGCUCCUUCCCCGGAUCUCCCCUCCGCCUCGAAUUUCCUGUCCCCUCCGGCGACGGCGACGGCGACGGUUCCGCGGUCAAAUUCCACUUACUUCGACCUAAGGCCGGAUGCAAAAUUUACUCACAGGUGACGAUAUGUCAUUCUUCUGUUGCAAGAUAGUCUUGUCCUUGCAAAGGAACGAACUGCUUCUAGACUAUGUAAUCCUGUUUGGAUUGAAGGUAUUUUCCCUCAUUACACUUAGGACAAGUGAACCUUCAAGUUUAAUCUUCCAAGGCUUGUUUUCUAGCCCAAGUGUUUUUUAAGGCUUAGGCAGAGUAGGGCUCUUGGUUGAACUGAAAUUUCUACUACUGGUGGAAGUCAUUAGAUUUGAGCAGAAGUUGGUUCUUGGUUGAAACUAAUCUGGAGCUUUGCAGUUUUUUAUAGCCGGCUGGUGGAGGCAAAGUCUCAUGCCUGAGCAGUUACUACUUGUUGCUAAUUCCAUUAUUGUAUGAUAUGCUGGUGCAGGAUCUGUGACUGUUGAAUUGCUGCACAUAUUACACAUACUUUUUUCUUUGCCUUUAUUUUUAUAAAGUAUAUACCUUUUACUUUCUGCAAUAAAGAAAACUACAUUGCGUAUAGUGCGAAAAUGUCUGCCCAAUAAUGCUUUAUUUGUUAACUUACAUUAAUCUAUUCACAAUUCUUAUCUGAAAAUGAUAAUUGAACUGGUAGGUGGAUGAGUGAUAGGAUAAAUUAAUUGUGUUUUUCUAUGCUCGAUCAACCUUCUACAGUUCUAUGUGUGCCUUUCUUUAAUUACAUCCAGUAGAGAAGGGGCCAGAUAUGAUAAACCAUGGUCAUGUACUCAAGUUCUCAAAUGCAACAUAGAAUCAACAUAUUUGUCUUCCGAAUAAAUUGUAAGAUAUGGGUAAGAAGUUCUCGCACGAGUACUACUCAGAAUGGUGAGCCUUUUUUUCACUAGUCUUGCCAUCUGUUGCUGAUCUACUUAUGCUUGAGAACACUGCAAUGAAACCGUGUCGUACUAGUAUUGAACGAUUUACUAAACUGUUGUAUUUUGAAACAGUUGCUGACUUCCAAAAAAAAAUUCUUCUAAUUCAGUCAACAUCGAGCUGCUGUUCUCAGCUGAUGUGGAGUAGAGGAAGACGAGAUAUCCCGAACAUUGCCUUACAAUUUGCACCUUCAGAAGUGUGGUUGUCCAUGGCAUGGAGUUUUGGUAAUUUAGAACUUUUUGUACCGGUGUAAAGGUCCAGGACAAGCUAGUAGCUAAAAUCUAUUUGUUCCUAUGGGCAUUGGCUUCAUUGUUCUAAAACUCAGAACCUGUUGAACAAUGAUGUUAUUUGUAAUGGCGGCAUGAGAGGAGGAAGAUUUGGUUGCUUGUUCUGUAUAGCUUCCUAUAAGCAAUGCACCUCUAGAUGAUUUUGUCAAAAGCGUGUCGAGUUGAUAUUCUCAAUAUAUUAUUAUUUAUCAGUUUGCAAGUUCAUUAA